GAUGAACGCUGACAGAAUGCUUAACACAUGCAAGUCUUUGGCGAAGCUGUGCUCGCACAGCCUAGCCAAGGCGGACGGGUGAGUAACGCGUAAGGAACUUGCCCUGCAGUCAGGGAUAACAGACGGAAACGACUGAUAAGACCUGGUAAAGUCAGGCGGACUCAUGUCCAGCCUGAUGAAAAGAGAUGCUGCAGGAGAGCCUUGCGUCCUAUUAGCUUGUUGGUGGGGUAACGGCCCACCAAGGCGAUGAUAGGUAGCCGGCCUGAGAGGGUGGACGGCCACAAGGGGACUGAGAGACGGCCCUGACUCCUACGGGAGGCAGCAGUGGGGAAUAUUGGACAAUGGGGGCAACCCUGAUCCAGCAAUUCUGUGUGCACGAUGAAGGUUUUCGGAUUGUAAAGUGCUUUCAGCAGGGAAGAAAAAAAUGACGGUACCUGCAGAAGAAGCGACGGCUAAAUACGUG
This 463-nucleotide ribosomal RNA is filed under the name uncultured bacterium. RNAcentral describes it as "partial 16S ribosomal RNA". It matches the Rfam family "Bacterial small subunit ribosomal RNA", at positions 28 to 507 of the family's 1533-position model. The record is from RNAcentral.